GGCUGAUGAACUUGUUGUGCUCAUUUUAAUUAUUUAAACUGAACUGAAAUAAGUUUUCUUUGUCCUUAAUUCUGUUCACCACAAUACACCAAAUGUCCCCUUUUCUAUGGCUUAUGAGUUUGCAUGUAGGGGUAAACCUAAUUUUUUUAACAUUCGUAAUGUUUGUGAUUGCAGAUGACACACAUUGAGGACCAUGAGCCGUUUGAACCAGCACCUGAGGUCACUGCGAGCAGUCAGCAGGUAUGUAAUUACUAGUGGAAAAAUUGUAUACCAACGGGAAAAGCCACAGCUUAAGAGACCCAUUUUGUUUUGAUGUGUUUAUUCUUUUAAAACAUUGAUAUGGUGUAAGUGUGCAGUUCUGACCAAUUUGCCUAUACUAUGUACAUUUUCAAAUUACUUACUGGGAACCAACAUGCUUUUAAAAACACUGAAUUGUCAUUUCAGCAGAGCCCGCCUGAGGACAAUGGCCAGCUUGAAGAUCGUCAUGUAACACUUGGCAAUCAGAAGGCACCCUGUGAUUUUGCACCUGCCAGAGCUGCUACAUCAAGUCAUGUGACUUAUGACAACCCUGGGUGUCUUCAAGGAUCGUUUGACCAGAGCAGCCACAUAUUCGGGGAAAAUGCAGGUAAGCAGUGUGCUACAAAUAGCAUAGCGGCGAUUAUGACCCACACCACCCAUAAUUUUUUUCUCAAAUGGAAAAAAAAAAACAUUCAUCAUAUUCUAAAACAAGGUAAUGGCUUGUACACAUCUAUGCUAGAAAAUAAGGAAAUCAGUGCAGCCAAAACCAGUGGGCAUAUUUUCAUUUCCGAGUUACCCAGACACUGCAAAUUAAACAAUAAAUCAUUUAGUUUGGAAUAUUUUGAUACACUCACUGGAAGUCUUGAUCAAAAGGAUGAUUAUGACGCUUCUUUGCAAAACAUAGCCAUGCCUUUAGAAGAGGCUAUUCAGAAGACACUGCUGCAGACAGACACAUGCUUGCUCAACAUCAAAGAAAGUGUCUGUGCCGUUUUCAAGGUCGAAACUGCUUUUGCAGUUUUCGAUCCUCAUUCUCGUAGUACUUGGGGUUCAGUUGCACCGGAUGGAACCAGCAUAGUAGCGCACUAUGCUACUGUGCAUGAGUUAUAUGAGCAUAUUGAGAACCUGGUCAAUUCCUUAUAUCAAAAUCAUCCACAUGCUUUUGAUAUCCCGAACAAGGUGUUUGAAGUCACUGGUGUGAAAGCUGUUGAGGUAAACUCACCAUUUACUGCUUUAACUGCACAGCCUGAAGCCAGCACUUCGGCACAUGACGGUACUUUGGACACUGACAGUGACUCUGAUCUCUGUGUCCUUUCGGUAACAGAUAGAAAUUCCCUUACAGUAAACGCGUCUUUUUCCCUUGAAACUGUGCAGCCUGUAGCAAACACUUCUACAUGUGACACAACUGUAAACAUUGACAGUGAUCCUCCAAUUCACACAGAGGGUGCAUCAGAUGUCUGUUUAAUUUCUGUAACAGAUAGCCCCAAUAUAAUAUUUACUGGAUUGACAUUAAGGGAAAAAAACAGGAUCUGCAACAAACUGAAUAUCGUACCAAGUUUAGAUCAAAAUAUUGUUGUACAAACCUUCGAUGUGGCACAGCCUGAACCAUGCCAAACAACAUCCAUUGAAGGUGACGGUAAUUGUUUCUUUCGUUCUCUUUCGUCUGUAUUGAGUGGUUGCGAGUCACAUCACAAGGCCUUUCGAAAGGCUGUAGUGAAUCACAUCUCAAAUAAUCCACUUCAUUACAUUACUUGUCUAAGACGGCAAUUUGUUUCUGUGGAGCAAUAUCUCAUGGACUCAAAAAUGAAGUAUGUUGGAUCUUGGGCAACAGAGUUGGAAAUACAAGCUUCAGCAGAUUUUCUCUGUGUUGAUAUUUACACAUACAGUCAACAGAAAUGGAUUACGUUUACGGCGAACAUUGAGCCAAUUUCAAGAAAAGCAAUAUAUCUGAAACACUG
Molecule: long non-coding RNA, 1973 nt
Filed under: Gadus morhua (Atlantic cod)
Lineage: Eukaryota; Metazoa; Chordata; Actinopteri; Gadiformes; Gadidae
Description: lncRNA (ENSGMOG00000028703.1)
Source: RNAcentral